UACGAAGGGGGCUAGCGUUGUUCGGAAUUACUGGGCGUAAAGCGCGCGCAGGCGGUUUCUUAAGUCAGUGGUGAAAGCCCGGAGCUCAACUCCGGAACUGCCAUUGAAACUGUGAAACUUGAGGACGAGAGAGGUGAGUGGAAUUCCCAGUGUAGAGGUGAAAUUCGUAGAUAUUGGGAAGAACACCGGUGGCGAAGGCGGCUCACUGGCUCGUUUCUGACGCUCAGGCGCGACAGCGUGGGGAUCAAACAGG
RNAcentral lists this ribosomal RNA (253 nucleotides) under uncultured bacterium. RNAcentral describes it as "partial 16S ribosomal RNA". It matches the Rfam family "Bacterial small subunit ribosomal RNA", at positions 524 to 776 of the family's 1533-position model. The record is from RNAcentral.